Molecule: long non-coding RNA, 2693 nt
Filed under: Nicotiana tabacum (common tobacco)
Lineage: Eukaryota; Viridiplantae; Streptophyta; Magnoliopsida; Solanales; Solanaceae
Description: long non-coding RNA (NTAB_LNC003631)
Source: RNAcentral
UCGAUUUGGGAUUCAAGAUAAACCGGUGACUUGGGACACCAAAAGCCAAACCUUUCCCAGGUGGCGACUCUGAAUUUAAUAAAUAAUCUCAUUUCGAAUAUUGUCACUUAAAUUGAAAAAACUCCCCCGCGCAUUUUACCCUUCGGGGCGGGCGCGCAAAAAAGAGGUGUGACAUAGUGAAGGAAACCCCACUCGUUUCUCAAAAAAGUAAAAACAUUUCAUUAGUCUCGGCAUCUGCCUCAUUAAAUUCAUCACAAGAACCCUUACAGCCAAAAGUUGAUUAGUGUCAUUAUUUCAAAAUAAAAUUAUUAGUGAUAGGAAAUGAAAGUAUUCUAGUAAAGGAAAUAUAGCAUGAACAAAAAGAGAUUUUCCAAUUGAGAAAUUUGAGCCAACAUAAUCUUAAACUUAAUCACACAAGCAGCGUCAGGUAUAUUAGAAGUUCUAUUUCAGACGAUCUCAUGCUGAGCUGUCGAUCUUGAAAAGCCAUCUUUUGAUUACUUUCUCAAGUUCUUAAACUAAGAAGUCGAGGUACAAUUUUGAAUUAUCUUGUGUCUUCCCGCUACACCGAUUAAUAAAAGGAAAAGGUAUGUGCUAACAUACUUGUGCUUCAAUUCUUGCAUAUUCAAAGUUAAGAACAUCUCGAGGAACCAUGAUCUCCACGGUAGUGUUGGUCACAAUAGCAUGUAUGCUUUCACUGCAAGCAAUAGAAAAUGCAACCAGCUGAUGAAUACAACAAAGAAACAACUUGGGUUUUGAGAUAAUUUCAGAUACUCUUUUCUUCAAACAUGUGCAACUCCAAUGUCAAAUCAAGCUAAUAAGAAGCGUAACAUUACCAUCAGGAUGGAUCCUUCUAAGCUAGGCACAAAGCUUUUACUCACGUUCUGUUUAUCAAAGUUUGAACUUCCUAAGCAAUAAUAAUUAACCACUUAAUGCUUUUUUUCCUAACAGAUUUAUUCUUAUAAAAAUCAAAUGUAGAUUGAGACAUUAAAUAAUUUCUUGGGUAAUUAAUUAAAUGAAAGAAAAAUUAGCAAGAGAAAAAAAUUUGAAAGGUGGAAAUAAUCCAUAAUAUCACAAGAACCACUAUUCGUCGCCCAUGUUUAUAAAGUUCUCAAAUUUUUUUCUCCUCUUCCUUUAUCUCAGAAUUCACAAGACAAAGGCAAAUGAAGAGAGUUAUAAUGUCAGACUGUCAACCUUCUUUCCGAUAAUCUCUUAGGUAAAAUAAAAUGCAAAAUUUGAAAUUUUGAAGAUAAUUCUUGUUUAAGCACCUAAGAUCUGCAGUUUAGUAUCAUGUCAAUGCAAAAGGACUAAAUAUGAUCCCUGUUUUUGAAAUAUCACAUGAAGAUUGAUGACAUAUAAUGAUAUAAAGGGACCCUACUGACUAUUUGAUGGCACAAAGGUUAUCUAUUGCAUCUUGGAAAUAAUAAAAUUAUCAACCAUCAAAUACAAAUGAUAGAGCUUCAAAAAAAAAAAAAAGAAAGAAAGCUUCCGAAAACCAUAAUUUAGUCCUAAUCUCCUCCAACUAUCAAGAAGAAACCCCCCAAACCAAUUAGACCAAAUGUAAGGUAUGCUCAAAUGACUAAGAUAUGGAAGAAAUCAUUAUAUUGUCAGUUCACCUAAGCAGAUUUUAAGACUAUAAGAUAAUACAAAUAUAAUACAGAAGCAGAAAGAAAAUGAUUGAAACAAAAUUAAUGGAAAUUCAAGGUGCAUCAGCCUAUUAAAGAAUCACAUAAAAAUAAAGUAGAUCGUGAAAUUAAAUGCCUAUAUUAAAAAAUUCAAAGUAGUAAAUAAGUUAUCUGGACGAAAUGAUAAAAAAUAUUAACUUACAGGUCAACUAAGUAAAUAUAAUGGUUAGGAAACAAUUUACUAUGCAAAAGCAUAUCAAAUGAAUCAAUUUAUGAAACAUAGGACCUCAAAUUCAAACGUAUGAUACACAUUAACUUCAUUAUUAUGUAGCACAUGUUUGACAAUGCAUAAUAUUUGUUAAUAGAGGCGACCUAAUUAGAAAGUAAAUACUAACUAAAUCCCAUGUAUUAAACCAAUAUCUUAGGAUUUGAUUGCGCGCUUUCAAAUGUACAGAAAAAUAUUUAAGCAAAAGAGAUGGUAUUUGAAUCUUUAUGAUCUUUUCAUCUUCCCAGCUAAACAAAAGCUAAUUGAUGGAGCUUUGGUCUGAAGUAUUAACCAAACAACAUGUAAUAAGCUAUUGCACUAAGGCUCUUUUUAUCCCUCAACUGAGAAAUUAACAUCAAAGUAUAAAAGGAGAAAAGUUUACCACAAUGUUAAAGCUAAUACAUAACUUGGUGAGAUCAAGGCAGUGAAACACUUACAGCAAACUGAUAAAUCAACCUAGCACCAUCAGCAUUCGACUUCUUUCAUAACCCUCCUUUUUCCCCAAAAACUCUCUUGUUGGUUCUAGAAUUCUGGAAUUGGAACUGAAAUUCGCACAUACUUAAAUGGCAUAAGAAGAAAUCACCAAGGAUAUUCUGGUGUCUUUUAACCUCUAAGACCUAAGAAGUACUGAAAAUUUUCAUCGAAAAAUCAAGAUAUAACUUUUUAGCAUGGAGAAUAAGUAACAGAGAACAUAAUUUUUGGAGGAAAGGUGGAAAAUAAAUUUGAUCAAUGAAUUUGGGUGAAGAGAACCCAUGAGGAAAAAGGUCAAAAGAUGUGAGAGUGAAUCAAAAUCUGAAUUAAAGGAA